Long non-coding RNA from Bombus impatiens (common eastern bumble bee), 455 nucleotides. RefSeq lists it as uncharacterized. The record is from RefSeq and is a predicted model, not a curated record. The transcript has 2 exons. NCBI's taxonomy places the organism in Eukaryota, Metazoa, Arthropoda, Insecta, Hymenoptera, Apidae.
UUACGAGCGUUAUCUUGGAAUUCUUUAUGCCAUCUUCUUGCUUGUCGAGAAACUGAUUGAAGAAAAUCAAAUCGAGAAAAUUAAUUCGAGACGAUGACGAAACUAUUUCGAAGCUUUAAUCUUUUAUCAAUUAAAUUUAGAUUUAAAAGCGUACGAAAGUCGAGGCGUAUAACAUUCGAAACGCAACUAUUUACAAUAAUUACACUGCUUAUACGCGAUAUGGGAUACGUUGAACUUUGCGAAGUGAUAAUGUGUAUAACUAUUCCUCGAAUGAGUCAUCGUACCACGUAUCUCGAGAACGGCCUUUCUAAACUCUUUGACGUCAACUAUAAUUCUGAGCUCUAACAGAGAAAGAAAUAAUUGCAGGCGACGUUUCGUGGCGGAAAACGACGCAGGAAGCGGAGGAUCAUGACCUGAAUCUCGUAAUCUCGGGUCUUGGACCUCGAGUCACUUCU